This 192-nucleotide ribosomal RNA is filed under the name uncultured Rhodanobacter sp. Its description in RNAcentral is "partial 16S ribosomal RNA". It matches the Rfam family "Bacterial small subunit ribosomal RNA", at positions 338 to 524 of the family's 1533-position model. The record is from RNAcentral. Lineage: Bacteria; Pseudomonadati; Pseudomonadota; Gammaproteobacteria; Lysobacterales; Rhodanobacteraceae.
CCUACGGGAGGCAGCAGUGGGGAAUAUUGGACAAUGGGCGCAAGCCUUCCAGCAAUGCCGCGUGUGUGAAGAAGGCCUUCGGGUUGUAAAGCACUUUUAUCAGGAGCGAAAUACCACGGGUUAAUACCCUAUGGGGCUGACGGUACCUGAGGAAUAAGCACCGGCUAACUUCGUGCCAGCAGCCGCGGUAAU